CAGAGGUGGCAAGCGUUGUUCGGAAUUACUGGGCGUAAAGGGCGCGUAGGCGGCCUUCUAAGUCAGACAUGAAAUCCCCAGGCUUAACUUGGGAACUGCGUCUGAUACUGGGAGGCUUGAAUGCGGGAGAGGGAUGUGGAAUUCCAGGUGUAGCGGUGAAAUGCGUAGAUAUCUGGAGGAACACCGGUGGCGAAGGCGGCAUCCUGGACCGACAUUGACGCUGAGGCGCGAAAGCCAGGGGAGCAAACGGGAUUAGAUACCCCGGUAGUCCUGGCCCUAAACGAUGGGUGCUUGGUGUGGCGGGUAUCGAUCCCUGCCGUGCCGAAGCUAACGCAUUAAGCACUCCGCCUGGGGAGUACGGUCGCAAGGCUG
Molecule: ribosomal RNA, 372 nt
Filed under: uncultured organism
Description: bacterial SSU rRNA
Rfam family: Bacterial small subunit ribosomal RNA
Source: RNAcentral